AGUCAACGAGUCCUCCCAGCUCAUUGCAUCAUAUAAGAAAACGCAAAUAUCAACAACACAAAAAGCGUUCAUCACGUACACAACUCUUCUUUUUUGGGCUCCCCUCCUUUCGCCUGUCGUCAUUGUCGCUGUCCUUUCAACACCACCAUUAGACCCCGUCGACAUCGCCAACGUCCGGAGAGUUUUCUGCUUCUUUCUCACUCUUGUUUCGCCCCACGUCUAUGGUCGUCGAUUUCAUUUCUCUGCGCCUCUCUUAGUACAACUCUUUUCACGCCCCUCUGGCACAGGGUCGGUCGAAGUCUCCCUCCCGUUUUCGUAAUUCUCUUGCUUUCGCCAUACACACAGCGGCCGUGGUUCUCUUUCAUCGCUGCUGUUUGGUGUUCCGCUUUUCGCCUUCCUGCCUUUGUGUGCGUGUGUGUGGUUGGCGUUCUGGUCGAUUUGACUGCAGUUUUUUUUUUUUUUUCAUUUAUAUUUCAGUGUGUGUGUGUGUGCUCCUUCACAUACACCCCUCCUUUCUUCUUCUGCAUAUGUGCCUUGUUGUCGCGUGUGUGUGUUGCUCUCUGUACCCGUAGCGCUGGACGCUUCUUUUUUUUUUUCGACCUCCUUUGUUUUUCGUGUUUUUUUUUCUUCAUUAGCUCCAGCUCCAUACGGCGUUUGUGCAUCGUGUUUCUCAUCUCCUCCGUUGCUUUCCGUGCUUUCCAUUCUUUUCCCUCUUCCUCCUCCACCGCUCUUUAGACACCAUCGUCAGUGAAGAACCGCACAGCUCGUACGCGAGAUCGAAACGAGAACGGCAAGAUCCAAGAAAAGGGAAAGCGGAAAGGCAAGCUUGGAUUGCGUGCACAGGAACUCGACUCAGGGCAUCCGUUCCCUGCUCACUCCUUUCAAGCUCUACUUCUCCGUUUUUUUUUUCCCACUUUACCGGCUUUGCUCGUCUUGUUUUCUCUCCAGUCCCCGACCCUCUUGUGUGCCGCUUCUUUUCGUCACAGCUGCCGAUUCUUUGCCAAUCACCAACCUCGCCGAAGGCGUAGUAAAGAAAUAAAAACACACAAACACGCCGAAGUCUUUAUGCCAGCCAUGACAGAGCUGCGUAGCAAGAGCUCCAAUGCCCUUGCGGAUGUUGAAGACCGGCCAUUUUUCGUGGCCACCUUUCAGCGCACCGCCAGCCGCUGCGGUACUUCAGAUAAAGAUGAUGAUAUGCCGUCGAACUUGAUCACCUCGCGCUCCAAUGUGCCUGGUAUGACACCACAGGAGCUCCUGGCAGCACACCGCAUGUCCCUCGCCGAGAUAUCGAAGCGGGCAGAUCCCGAUCUGCACAGCCUCACCCUCAGUCGCCAUCAGGUGGAGCAGGGGGAUAUUUGUCACGCUUCGCUAGGCGACAUCUCAGACGAAGCGUACCACGACGCGUUGGAGAGCUUCCGAUUUCGUCCUGUCGAGGACUGAGAGCGAUAAUCGUCUUCUCUUUUUCUGCUUCGUUGCUGCUGCGCACUGAUGUUGCUUGCUUGCAUUUUGGUGUGAGACGACUGCGGUGCUCCGGCGAUCUAGAGUGGAUCGCACCGUCUGCAGUCGGGGGGAGGGGGAGGGAAAGAGUGCGCUCAAAAACGAGGGCGAGUCGAGAGAAGUAGACAUACACAUCCUCAACACUCGUUUCCGUCGUCCUUUGCGUCCCUUUUCCAUACUCCUGCUUUUCCUUUUUUCUCCCCCCGCUUCUCCUGUUCAG
Molecule: unclassified non-coding RNA, 1717 nt
Filed under: Leishmania donovani
Lineage: Eukaryota; Euglenozoa; Kinetoplastea; Trypanosomatida; Trypanosomatidae
Description: gene:unknown
Source: RNAcentral